RNAcentral lists this non-coding RNA (31 nucleotides) under Homo sapiens (human). The record is from RNAcentral. Lineage: Eukaryota; Metazoa; Chordata; Mammalia; Primates; Hominidae.
UCAGUGUGUGUGGCCACCUGUACUGUUGGUA